UUUUCUUUUUUUUUGUUUUUAAAUUUUUUUUUAAUACACCAUCAAGUUUAAGUGGCAAACAUGCACUUAACCUUAUAUGAACAUGUGAGCACGGAUAUUACCUUAUACAAAGAAUUAAAUUCACAGACAAAUAAGAUUGAAAUCUGGUAAUAGAUUCUUGGGCAAAACUUGGUCAUCAAGAAAUAUAGACAGUUGAAGUCAAAGAGUGUUUUGUAUAUAUGCAUCCAUAUAUAUUUGGAAGGGGGUAAUAAUUAAGUCCAAGGAGAAAAGGUUGUUACCUUUCACCCUUCACUAGCUCAGUUUACUUGGAACAUUAAACCACUGAGAUAUCAAAUGUGGAAAGGGUAAAUGUGCAGGUGCUUGAUGCUGCCUGCCAGUAAUGACAGAAACCCUUGCAGGGUGCACAAAUCAAAGCAUAAGAAUGAUUUUGAUUAAGAUGAAGGGAUAAAAACAGAGUGCUCACUAAAUCUAAUGAUACUGAUCGCUGUCUUGAUUUAAAUAUCUUUAGGGCAUUUAGGGCAGGAAUGGUGAUAACAGGCAUGAACUGGAUUAAUCAUUUCAGUCAGGCCUCCAAAGGCCAUCACUGGACCAGCAUUGUUCAGUAUGCACAGUCCAUACUCUCCCUGGCUUUAAGUGGUGCACAAGGAUAGGAUUUAUUCUGAGAAUUUCCCAUAAUGCUUCAUGUAUCUAGUGUAAAAUUCCUGUAUGAUUAUAGGUCCAGAAAUAAAACAUGGUCUCAGGGCCAGCAAAGGCUCCAAUAACAAAGCAAACCAAACAUUGUUGAUCAGCCAAUAGUGACUGACACCUGCUGAGCACUCACCUGCCUCUUGGCAUGGGCUGCUGCAAACUAGCACAGGCUGGUUUAGCCCUGCUAGAAAUUUUGCCUCCAUCACUGAUGUGCUUAGCUGCCCCUCUUCUAUAGCACCAGAGAGUAGCUGUGGAAGUCAGAGACCCUAUUACACCCAUAUCCACUUUGAUAUGCCAGAACCAUUAUUCUUCUAUCCAAUACAAAUUUUCAGCUGUUUUAUUCCUCUCCAGCUGCUGUCAUUCCAAGGUGUAAGUGAAAUGACGGAUGGGUGUUUCUCCUCUCAGGCACACAAGUGACUUUGAACAGCUUGGGUGGCAGUGCUGACAAACUUGAAGUGAGCAUGCAUCUUGCAAGAGAGGAAAAAAUGCAUGGGAGUGAACAUCUUAAAGUUCACUGAAACAUUUAAUAAAGAUGACAUUUCAAAAUUGUAGUAAGAUGCAACAGCAACAUCUACCAACAGCUACCUAUUAGUAUCUUUCCGAACCUUGGUGUAAGUGGUGUUUCUUCUUUAAAAAUAGCAGUUUCUGGAGACAUGCAAGUAAAAAUUCUCAUGUAUAUUAUUUGAAUUAUGUUCAAGCAUUGUAGCUAAAACUGAAAUGUUACCACAUGGCAUUGGACAAUAGAGCAUAAAGUAUAGGAUUCCACAUGACUUGGAAUUUGUAGAUUUAUGGAGCUGCUCAAGAUUUUUAAUAAAAGGAGAAGAAAAUAUUGUAUUCCACAAAGUGUAAGGAAAAAAAAUUGCUAAGCAGAAUAUACCUACUCUAGUGGUAGUGGGCAAAAUGGUAUGCAGCACCAAGCUGGAGCCACUAUGAACAGCUUUUAUGAACCUCUUACUAGUGAGAGCUCAUUACUUUAGUAAAACACCUGCAAUCAUUCAAACAUAGAAGGUUUAGGAAAUUGUAUUUUUUAAAAGGCAGAGCUCUAUAGCAAGGGAACAAUAAGUAAGUAUUCUAGAGUGUGGUGCCUUAUUCUGUCCUGUUAGAUGCUCCUUUUUAUGUUUUUCCAGACUAUAUGAAAUUAUAUGCUUGACUGAUAUUCAGCUCUUAAAAGGCACAGCCAUUAAGAUAUAUUAGCAUUGUCGUCUACAGCGUGAUGCCAUAUCAAAGGAAAAUAUAAUUUAAACUGUAUUUAUUCUCACCUCCCAUCAAUACUAGCUUGCAAGAAGAUUCUCUGGGAUGGAAGUUUACAUUUAUCAAAAUACUACCCAUUUCACAAGAAAGGUAAGUGCAUUUUUUCAUUUCUCCCAACCCCCACGUCGAGAUAAGAGUUUUACAUUUAAAAGAUUCUUUGAUGUACUAGACUAAAACAGCAACAAUGUUUCAUUGGGCAACAAACAAUCACUACUGCAUAAACACAAGCAUGAAGUUGAUGUGCUCCUUCUUUCCCAGUUCGUAAAAGUCAGCCUUAGAACCUGAGUCUUUAAAAGACAAAUUAGCUCCCUCUUUAAGCAAGGAAAGACUUAAGAAAGUGCCUUACUCACCAAAUAUUCUGCAUCUGAUGCAUAGUCCUGCUUCUUAGUAUUUUUAUGUUUAGUGCUGAAGGUAUAAGUCCAAGGCAUUAAUCAGAUAUUUCUGCCCCAAGGGUAUUUGGGUAUUGGACAGAAAUACAAUAUAUGUGAUGAAAGUCCUAUAUAAUAUAUGGAAAUGUUGAAUGGCAAAGCUAUUCAUUUUCUCCAGCUGGGGUCAAAUUUGACACCCACAUGAAUAUAAUGCCACUGCACAGCCCAAAUGACUCCAGCUCUAUCCACGGGACUAAUUGUAGCAUGGUCAAAUUGAAUAGGAAUGCAACUUUGAGCAUAAUGCAUUUCACAUACAAAAUAUUUUGAAUCAGCAACAACAACAAACCCAGAAACAGUCUAGUCCAUCCUAGUUAUUUGCUUGCAUUCAUGUUUUUAAAAUAUUUAAUACCAUCUUGAAACGGUUGAAAUAAAGUCAGAGAACCAAGAAAAACUGAUACAGCAGGCAGAGAAUAGUCAAAUGAAGACUGAAUGAGAUGCAAAAGUCAGCCUGACCACCUCCGACAGAAUGACCCUUGCUCUCGCAAGUAGAGAAACCAACACUGUGCUGCAGAGAGCAGUUAGAUGAAUUUAAGACAAGUGGAGCAAAUUUUUCACAUGAGCUCACGUUGCUUGAUCCCCCUGCAAUGCAUGACAAAACCACAUCAGAAUUUUUGUCAUGACACCUUGCUGAAAGCAACUGGAAUGCUCUGGAAAUCACAAUCUAGCUGCCUGUUAUAGUUAGGAAGGGCCAUACAGAGUUAGUGUCCCAGUUCCUGGGAGGUAUGCUGCUUUAUAGAAAGCUGAUUUUAAUCUGCUACUUUGAAGUGGUUGAAUAUGAACUGCUCACUUUCUUUCUUUGAAAGACACAGUGGAAAAUAUAAGUCUUUUAUAUUUGGAAUGGAAAAUAGACCUAUUUUUUGUUUUGAUAUCCAUUGUUAGAUGAGAAGUGCAUUAAAAAAUUAGGACAACUCAUCGUAUCUUAGUGGCGUACGAGCCCUGCCAGUGCCUGUCUUCUAAGUUUAAAUCAAAAACUGAAAUGCAAAGAGCAGAAAAAUAGUAACAUUUCCUUUCUCCAGCAAGAGCCCCAAAAGGACUGUAGGAGGUGUUAAUGAAAGAAUACAGAACAGACCUCUUCAAUAUCCCAUAUCUUGAGAAAUGCCAGAAUCUUCAAUCUCAAAGUCCAUUGAUAUGCUACAUAGCCUUGAUAUCCCUUCAUGUUCUGCCAUUUCAUGUUUUUUUGUGCUAGAAAAACCCAGGUUAAGGAAAGGCUAGAUACCGGUACUGCAAGUUUUCUGUAUUUAGCUGUGCGUGACUCCUAGUUCACCCUUGUCCCACAGGUUUGCUGAGAGUCAAGCCAAACAAUCAGGGAAUGAGGAAGAGUGAGAAAGAUAUAGGAAAGAGAAUUAAGGACUCCAGAAAGAACAUUAAAAAAACUAUUAUUGGAUUUGUGCUCAGGGAAGGAAUUUGCUUUUGCAAACUAGAGCACAAUAUUCAUGUUUUGUUUGAAGUUGUUUAUCUGGAAGUUGUGCUAGCCCCAAGAAAAACUUAAUAAUUCUUACCCUUCAGAUAAACUUAUAGGUUGUUUUCUAGUUUUGAAGGUGCUUUUAAAGUUGAAUUUUUUCACGCAAAAAAAUGUGUCACUAGCGUUGGACUGUACAGAUUUCUCAGCAGAAGAGAUUUCUGAAGAAAAAGAAACACUUGGAAACUGAUUUGACAGGCAAUUUUUACUGUAUAAAAUUAAUGGUAGCUGUUUGAAGCUGCACAUGUGUCUGAAACAUUAAAAAACCCACAGCUGAUUUUUUGAUCAGCACAGAAGAUCAAAAAAGCAUUACACUUUUGCCAAAUGGUUCCAAAGUGUGGGGAAAGGCUGCUUACUUCCAUGUAUGCAUUUUAAGUCCUAUUUGUAAGUUAACCAUACUUACUUUUCCUGACUUGGUAUUAAUUUUGGAAGCUACUGUAACUAUUCUGUUGCACUAACUCGUAUCUCACUUCUCCUCACAAUAUACAAAAAAGCGUCCUUUCUUCACCUUUUGCCUCCUACAAUGGAUAGAUUUCAUCAUAUCAUGGAUAAAGACUGUAUCUCACUACACCUUUUUCCUGGAUGUUCUUUGAAAUCAAAAGACUUCAUUAGAAAAAGUAAAUCUCUUAAGAGUAUAAGCUGUUAGUGAGAGCAACAGUAAGAGCCAGGGGCAAACAAUUUGCUGUGCAGGUCGCUCCUGCAGAUUUCAACACUCCUAUACACUGCAUACCCACAGAGAGGCAGACAUUAGCACUGCUGUGAGCCUCAAGGCUGCACUGCUUCUUAGUGGAAAAUGAUAUAGCAUUAAAAAUGAGUUCUUUCAUCUUGUAUUUCCUCAGUAGAUUCUUUUAUUGUGGUGAUAAAUUUGGAACAAUGAGAUUAUUUGAUUAAACUUUCUCAGUCACUGCUGAAUGGACUACCCUGCUUGUAGAAUUAAUAAAAAGGCCAAGACACCUCAUUAACAUGCUUGGUAUUGAGCUGGAUUGGCAGCAGCACAGCUUAAUCCUGCCAAAAGCCAUUUGCUGAAGAAAGUCAGAAAGCUUUUAAAUCAUAUUCUUAAAGGUUGAGUCAGGAGAAGAUGACCUUGCAAAAGCUGUAGUCCUAACUGUCCAGACUUCCCUUCUGCCCAUUCAUGCUGAGCUGCUUACUGCACAGAACAAUAUGUUAAAUAGUAUGGUUUCUUCAUAUGCAAUUCAUUGGAUCAGGCUUUAUUUUGCUGUUCAUGGUGAUUGGAAAGCUACAUACAAAAGCUUAGAUUUGAAAAAGCCACAUGUGCCAAUGUCCUCUAGCAGGGUUUUUGUGUUUUAGUUGUUCUUUUUUCUCUUUUUUUGGUAGCUGGAACUAUGCUAGCAUCACUUGAUGGUCCAAAGGUACAUUUUCAUUUACAAGAAUUGAUACAGACGUACCACACCACUUUAACUAUUGCCUCACAGCCUGUAUAAGCAAAUACAGCUCAGAAAGACAUGCACAAAGUAGAAGAAAAGCAUGUGUACAUAAUCAUGCCUAUCAAAACAUCACAAAGAUCAAGAUAAAUGACAUCAUUGUUGUUUAAAAUCAUUCAUCUCUGGCACAAUAACUAUAGAAAGAUUUAUUGUGAAGUAAAUUGCAUUACAGUCCUAAUACACAACGGUGUAUAAAACAGAUCUCAACCUUCUGUUUUGGAAACACUGCUUAGAUUACUUACUUAAAUAUGUAAAGUGAAAGUCUCAAGUAGUUAAAACAUUCUUUAUCUCUGGUGACCUAGAUGGAAAUAGUUUUUUUCUAUGUAAACACAAGCAACUGCAUUUCUCAACUAGAAAUACACUAGUUUCAAGUAAUUAAAAUUUAUGGCAAAGUUAUCCUCUAAGCUCAAUUAACCUACUUCAUACCAGUGAACUUCACCAGCUUAGUAGAGUUGCUUCCAAUGUCUAGUCUCUGAACUCACAGGUAGGCUCUCAUUGUGAAGGGUGACAUUUUUGUGAUCAAUCACUUUAAUGUAUUUUCAGAAGAAAUGUGACCGCAAGAAAUUUUAUUGCAAAUAACUUAUUCUAUUUUUGCUUAAGCUAAGCACAUAAGAAUGUCUUAAAAGUUCAUAGAACCUUGUGUUCCUCUCUUGGUAAUGUUUCUUCUAAAGUGCAUUUUUAUAUUACUUUUUCUAGGGUACCUUUUUUGGUGUUGGGUUUUCUUUGUAUAAAGGUUUUCCUUUGCUGGCCCUUGCAAAAUUCCUAUUAAAGUAAAAAUAGGGAAUAUGAGAAAAUUAAAAGAAAAAUUGAGCCCUAUUAACAACAUGAUAAAUAUGAGGAAGGCAAAUUAAAACCAUACAUGUAGGAAAGUAAGAGAUCAGAUUAUGCUUAUAUAUCUUCAUCAGAAAAGGGACACUCACCUUAUCUGUCUUGUAAUACAAAUAUUGUCCUUGAAAGAGUAAUGCAAAGACAAAAUUACAAGUUUUCCUAAGACAGAGAACUCCAUGGCACUUCAGAAAAUGACAGUGCUGUGUGAAACAGAGGAUCUGUAGGAAUGUUUCCUCCCACAGUCUUCUUCAGGUCACUGUGAGGUUUUUUAUUUGGCUUUAGAAAUAAGUAAAAAUGUUAGCUUUGACAUUUAGAAUCUGUAGUAAAUAGAGAAAACAAGGAUAUUGCAAGCCUCCCUGAAUGGAUUUUUUAAUGCUUGCCAGAAAUAAAAAUUUUAGUUGUAUCAAAUAGCUAAAAGUGAAAUAAAUAAAUAAUUUUUAUUUUAUUGUUCUCCUGCGGUUGAGAUUUCACACAUAAAAAAGUUGGAAACCAGCAACUUUGUAUGCUUUACAGUGCAAUGAAGAUGUAAUUUGCACCUUCUGUACCUCACAUGGAAUUUUUAUAUUGCCUUGGAUGCACUUUCAUAAACAUUAAAAAAGAAACAAAGUAGCCCAAAUAAAACACAGCCAUUGUUACUUCCUGAACACUGAGCUACAGAUAGUGUUUUGCAAUCCCCAGUACUCAUACAAAUCUGUAAUAAGGGUUUUAACCCUCAGCUACUACUAAAAUUAUUGUCUUGUAACCUUAAAUAUAUUUCUCUACUAAACCAAAACAAAUUCUCAUCACAACAUAUUUUAGCCUGGCUUUUGACAUCACUUAGGGAGAAAAUUUGUAUUUAUUCCUUUUGUUGUCAUAUAUAAAAGAGCCUUUUUUUGUGGCUUCUCCUCCCACCUGCUGAAUUGUGAGUUACUAUGAUACCAUUCAAGACAAAAGCCCACCCACACAAUGCAGUUAUUGAGGUGGCUGUUCCAUGUCUCUAAUUCACUUUGGCUGCAUUAGCCCAUAAAAAACGACCAGGCCCUUGCAGAGCCAGGCUCCCUUCCCUUCCUCCUCCAGUAGUUGUGGAUGUUCUCCGCUUUACCUGGUAUAAUAUUCCUCAAUAUUAUAUACAAGCAGAGAUACUGCAGCAUACAGAAGCCAUUUUUUAAGCCUAAUUUCAACAGCCAAAUUUUAAAAAAACUCAGCAGAAAUAUUCAGCUCUGCUCAUGACUUUGAAGAGAUACACAACAAACCUGCAAUUUACCAACAGCAGUUUUCCAUCCUAAACCAAUAAUGUGCUUUGCUUAGGCAUGUUUGCUGCAGCUUCCAUGAGCAUUAUGGAAGUAACGGGACACACACAUCAAAGCAUGGAUUCAGUCUUGUCCAUCUCUUUACCAUAGCAGAGACAUCAAUCUCCAUUGCUCACUGGCAGCAGUUAUUUCAUGUGCCAGGAAAAAUCAUGCCAGCAAAAACAGACUCAGUAUUAGAUUUUGAGGGAAGUGUUGCUGCUAUUGCUGCUAUUAUACCAUUUAAUGUUUUGUAUUGCAUUAGUCAAUAGCUACCUCUUUAUUUGCAGCUUCCUUGCUUUUUCCAUUUUAUUACAUUUUAGUUGUCAAACAAGAUUGAAAGGAAAUAAAUCCUGGGGCUUGUGUAAUGGCUUAUUUUCCCUUUUCUGAAUGCCCAUUCUCUGGUUAAGUAUGAAGGCUUUUUUCACCCCCCUCCAGAGAUAUCAUUUCUUCUGAUGAAAUUUAAUUACUCUUGAUUCUCAUGCUUUACUCAUGUGUGCUCAUCAGCUCUAUGGCCGAUGAGACAGCUCAGAGCUUCAGAGUGUUAUCUGUAUCAUACCUUUCAGAAAUACAAUUUUUAGCACUAACUUUCAGAGAGGUUCUUUGGUGACAUUUUGUAAAGAUUAAAAUUAAGCACAAAAGAGAUUUCUAUGCAGCCUGCAAUGCAGAGGGGUGUUAGGAGGAGCACUGCUUGCCUGCUUCCAUGGCUCCAAUUUCACCACAUGGACUCAUAGGAUAUAUUGAGUUGGAAGGGACCCACAAGGAUCAUCAAAGUCCCACUCCUGGUCCUGCACAGCACCAUCCUCAGGAAUCACACCAUGUACCUGAGAGUGCUGCCCCAAUGCUUCUUAAACUCAGGUGGGCACAUGAGUGAGGCAGUCAUCAAAAUGACAAAACAGAACCACUCAAAUCACAAGGGAAAAGUAAACAGCACCAUGAAAAAAAAAAAAA
Taeniopygia guttata (zebra finch) is the source of this 8311-nucleotide long non-coding RNA. The record is from Ensembl. NCBI's taxonomy places the organism in Eukaryota, Metazoa, Chordata, Aves, Passeriformes, Estrildidae.